GGAGAUUUACUCAAGAGGCUGAAGAGGCGCCCUUGCUAAGGGUGUAGGUCGGUUUAUCCCGGCGMGAGGGUUCGAAUCCCUCAAUCUCCAUCA
RNAcentral lists this transfer RNA (93 nucleotides) under Oenococcus oeni. Its description in RNAcentral is "tRNA-Ser". It matches the Rfam family "tRNA". Rfam says of the family: Transfer RNA (tRNA) molecules are approximately 80 nucleotides in length. Their secondary structure includes four short double-helical elements and three loops (D, anti-codon, and T loops). The record is from RNAcentral. Lineage: Bacteria; Bacillati; Bacillota; Bacilli; Lactobacillales; Lactobacillaceae.